CGGCGCAUGCGCCGCCAUGGAAGCGUGGAGCGUGGCUCGGUGCGCUUCUGCGCCGUGGGGUGCGCGAGCACGUGUGGUGAGGGGCAGUGCGGUAAAUACGGUAACGCCGCCUUUGCGGGAGAGCCCUCCCGCCCUUCUUCAGGGUCUUUCCCGGAAAGGAAGCUCCCAGGUGAGAGCUGGGCGCUGUUCGAGGAGUACCGCCUCCUGUGUCUGACUGCCCUGCCUGCCACAACGUCACCCCGCGCCUCGUCACCUCUGUGGCACUCGCUCGUCUAGGAAACAACACAUCAGUAAGCGGUGGAUUUUAAUUAUUUCCUGAGAUUGUCGAUCUUUGUAGAGCAGCGAAGAAGAUGCGGUUCAGGACACAGAGCUCUUUAAACACAGACAGACACGCACAGACCUUGCUUUUAUUGUCGCACUGUACAGAAAACACGAGAGUCACCGUGCAAGUGUCUCCAGGAAGGUGACGAUUCAUUUAAGACAUGGCUACAGCCCCUGCUGAAGCCAGGAGGAGUCGCCCAAGCCACAAACUGUGAUCUGAUUCCAAGUGAAGCCUCAAAUCAUGAUGAGAUUGUACAUACAUCUUUGACUUGGAUUUUCUUAAAUUUAGAAUCUGAUUACUUCAAACUAUUCCAUUAAAUCAUGUAGGUCACAAGUUUAGUAUUUCUGGCUGGAUUUCAGCAGGGCCAGUGCCCUGAGAAACCCUGCAGGCCCAUGGGCUCGUUGCUGAGGACACUGCUCCCAAAAAACAGAAUCCUUUGUUUUUUCAAACCGUUCCACUAGAAAAUUGUACAUGCUAGCGAGACAACAUAGAAGGUAGCUCUUUUCCCUGUUGUCAAAACAUACAACCGUUUCUUUGACUAUCCCAGUGCUUCGGGUACUCCACAUAAAGUGGACUUCUUUAAUGUCCGGAUAACCUCUGACGUUAUUGAACUGAUAUUAAGCUCAAGAACGUUGGAAGUAAAAUUUUAAACCAGAUUAUUGUUAUACAGACAAUGGUUUAUCAAGUCAUCCUGAAACAGAUGAGAAAAAGCACGUACUGACUUAUUUAAAUAAAAUGCGUACCACAGUUUAAAAACUGUGGAGCAGAUUCUAAACACUGGAUGGGCUAGCUCCUAUUUAAUUUUGGUGCAGUGGUUGGAACCACGGGGCAUGAAUCACAGUGUGGAAUGCUUGUUUAGAAAACCCUCAGAGCCAAGGAAUCGGGCAGAUCCUGCCUGAGUUAAUCUGGUUUGUAUUCCGUAGCCUCUGCGUCACCUGAAGGCAGGUAACAUAACACCAGUUAGAGUAACGUCUAACUCUUGUUAGUCUCCUGUAGUUCCCACUGUUCUAGACACCACUAUAAGACGCAAAUAAUUACAGCAAUACAAAUUUGCACCAUGUCUCCCCUACUAUUUAAUACAAUUGCAUGGCCUGCAGAUGGUUCCCAGGGCACAGAUUCUGCAGUACGCUCACAGUGUCAGUGUAUAUCUCAUUAAAAAUAGAGAAGAUAACUCUAAUCAACUCCGAGUUAUGGAGCUCCAACUUUAUGAAUUGCUGCCAGUGUGAAAUCUAGGGAUUAAUUAACUUGAUCACUUUGAAGUUGAAAUAUGAUUACAUAAGUGAUAUUUGUUAGAGUAGAUUAUCUGAAGACUCUUAGACUGACUGUUUUAUGCUCUCGUUGGUUCCCCUUGGGGGGAUACCGCUGUUGUGAAAGUGUUGGUUCUUUUACUACACUUUAAAACUGUCCAUGGUGUUUAAUAACUUCUGACAAUUUAAAUAGACGUCUCCAAAGUCAUCCACACCUUACAAACACCAGUAGAACCUCUCUGUUCACUCAGAAGAAAAGUGAUGAGUCUGGGGAAUGUUUCUUAGGAUUCUUGGGAUUUGUCUGCAAAUAAAAUAACUGAGAAUCUACAUUUGAAAGGCUAAAUUAGAUUUGUUUACCAGAAAUAAAGACUGAAAAAUAUCACCAUAAGCCAUAUUACUUAAUGAUUCAGAGGAGAAAGAGUUGAGUUAACUUGAAGUCAGUGUGUAUUCAAGGAAACUUACGACACAUGGUUGAGAUCAGCAGUGUUGGAAACAGCUUCAACUCCACAGGGUACUGGGAACAAUAGCUGCGGACUGAAAAUAGAAUUACUCUCUUCAGGUAUAAAAUAUCACCUAAACAUGAUAUAUAACCUAUAAACAGCGUGAAACAUCCUCUCUCUCUGGAUCUUCUUUCUAAGUCCUUUCUGAUUAGGAACAUGUGCUGCACAGUACUUUGCUGUGCAGAGAAAGAUAAAAGUGCUCUGAUAUCCAGUUGGAUUUGCUCAGUGGUUUAGGCAGUGGGAUCAAACACUGUUCUUAGUGGCUAUAGACAGAACUAGGCAGUUAUCCACAAGCUUUAUAUGAAUCAAUUUUUGGAAAACAUACCUUAAAAUUGAAAUACAAGACUUCUUUCAAAUUGUAUGUGAACCAAAAGGAAAAAAAAAAGGUUUUUUUGACCUGCUGGAAAGAAACAAAAUAUACUGACAAUUACUGGAGUGGUACCUAAGCGGUCAGCUAUAUAAACUCACUUCCUUCUGUGGGUGGUUGGUUGGAACAUUUUAUUUUUAUCAGGUUGAAAGAGCUGUCUUCCCACAGUAGAAAAAAACCGUGUAUUUGCUGCUUUUUUGAUUCACACCUAGGUAGACUGCUGGAGCACGUGUCACAUGGCUGAGUCAUCAACGCUGCCGAUGCUUUUUAGACUGAGUCAUGCCGGUUGUCAGCAAGAGGGAAGAGAGUCUGAGAGUGACCCUACUCCUGAGAGCUUGUAGCUGAAAUCUAACAGUUCAAAGUUCAAAAUAACACAGCUGAUUUUGCUUUGAACAGGACAGGAAGCUACUUUACUGGCAUCUCAGAGAGGCAGGAGCUUGCAGAAUGAAGCUAAAACAAGGCAGAAAGAGACUCUGGAACUCAUGACACUGUCUGAGACCAUUCCCAGGUCAAAGCCAGAAUUUUAUGAGCAGUCAGUUUAUUGUCUCUGGAGGGCUUUAGAUCUGGUAUGGCUCAGUGACAGUGCUGAGCAAUCUCUAAGCGUGGGUGAUGGAUAUUGGAUGCUGAGGUAACUGAUUUCCCAAACACACAACUGGAUUGGAAGCAAGGGGGAAAGUGAAAAUCCAACAAGAAUCAUGAUGAAAGAGAAAGUACAUUGCUUGAACGUGAUCAGAAGGAGGAUAGCUAGAGGCCCUGCUUUUGGACCACAGAUGUGGGAAGAGGCAUCCUACUUAGUCAUUCCGACAUAGCUACAGAAGGUCUGUAGUAUAGCACUACAUACAUGCAAUACCCAGAUGUGCUAGAAUAUGAUUGCCUUUUCCAAAGUUUUGAACCAGUUUAUACCAGCAGAUCCAAUUUACACCAGCAAAGAACUCUGUACUCUGCAGCAACUGCAUUUUUCUAUUCUACAUCUGUUUGCCUUAAAAAAAAAAAAACAGAUAUACAAACCUGUAACUGGAAAGUAAGUGUUAACCAAUGGAGUUACACACUGUAA
Molecule: long non-coding RNA, 3490 nt
Organism: Numida meleagris (helmeted guineafowl)
Lineage: Eukaryota; Metazoa; Chordata; Aves; Galliformes; Numididae
Exons: 2
Source: RefSeq, a predicted model, not a curated record